This 73-nucleotide transfer RNA is filed under the name Saprospiraceae bacterium. Its description in RNAcentral is "tRNA-Met". It matches the Rfam family "tRNA". Rfam says of the family: Transfer RNA (tRNA) molecules are approximately 80 nucleotides in length. Their secondary structure includes four short double-helical elements and three loops (D, anti-codon, and T loops). The record is from RNAcentral. Lineage: Bacteria; Pseudomonadati; Bacteroidota; Saprospiria; Saprospirales; Saprospiraceae.
CGCGGAGUGGAGCAGUUGGUAGCUCGUCGGGCUCAUAACCCGAAGGUCGCAGGUUCAAGUCCUGUCUCCGCAA